GACGAACGCUGGCGGCGUGCUUAACACAUGCAAGUCGAACGAGAAAGCCCUUCGGGGUAAGUACAGUGGCGAACGGGUGAGUAACACGUGGGCAACCUGCCCCAGAGAGCGGGACAACCCGGGGAAACCCGGGCUAAUACCGCAUGAUGCGUCUCCACUUAAGUGGAGCCGCCAAAUGGUAGCUUCGGCCUCCGCCCUGGGAUGUGCCCGCGCCGGAUUAGCUCGGUGGUUGGGGUAACGGCCCACCAAGGCGACGAUCCGUAGCUGGUCUGAGAGGACGAUCAGCCACACUGGGACUGAGACACGGCCCAGACUCCUACGGGAGGCAGCAGUGGGGAAUCUUGCGCAAUGGGCGAAAGCCUGACGCAGCAACGCCGCGUGGGGGAAGAAGGCCUUCGGGUUGUAAACCUCUUUCAGUAGGGACGAAGCUUCCGGGGUUAAUAGCCUACGGGGUGACGGUACCUACAGAAGAAGCCCCGGCUAACUACGUGCCAGCAGCCGCCGUAA
This 507-nucleotide ribosomal RNA is filed under the name uncultured bacterium. Its description in RNAcentral is "partial 16S ribosomal RNA". It matches the Rfam family "Bacterial small subunit ribosomal RNA", at positions 28 to 523 of the family's 1533-position model. The record is from RNAcentral.